Molecule: ribosomal RNA, 404 nt
Filed under: Actinomycetes bacterium
Lineage: Bacteria; Bacillati; Actinomycetota; Actinomycetes
Description: Actinobacteria bacterium partial 16S ribosomal RNA
Rfam family: Bacterial small subunit ribosomal RNA
Source: RNAcentral
UGGGGAAUAUUGGACAAUGGGCGCAAGCCUGAUCCAGCCAUGCCGCGUGAGUGAUGAAGGCCCUAGGGUUGUAAAGCUCUUUCACCGGUGAAGAUAAUGACGGUAACCGGAGAAGAAGCCCCGGCUAACUUCGUGCCAGCAGCCGAGGUAAUACGAAGGGGGCUAGCGUUGUUCGGAUUUACUGGGCGUAAAGCGCACGUAGGCGGACUAUUAAGUCAGGGGUGAAAUCCCGGGGCUCAACCCCGGAACUGCCUUUGAUACUGGUAGUCUUGAGUUCGAGAGAGGUGAGUGGAAUUCCGAGUGUAGAGGUGAAAUUCGUAGAUAUUCGGAGGAACACCAGUGGCGAAGGCGGCUCACUGGCUCGAUACUGACGCUGAGGUGCGAAAGCGUGGGGAGCAAACAGG